CCUACGGGAGGCAGCAGUGAGGAAUAUUGGUCAAUGGGCGCGAGCCUGAACCAGCCAAGUAGCGUGAAGGAUGACUGCCCUACGGGUUGUAAACUUCUUUUAUAAAGGAAUAAAGUGAGGCACGUGGGCCUUUGUGUAUGGACUUUAUGAAUAAGGAUCGGCUAACUCCGUGCAAGAAGCCGCGGUAAUGCGGAGGAUCCGAGCGUUAUCCGGAUUUAUUGGUGUUAAAGGGAGCGUAGAUGGGUGGUUAAGUCAGGUGGGAAAGUUUGCGGCUCAACCGUAGAAGUGAAAUUGAUACUGGAAGCCUUGAGUACAGUUGAGGUAGGCGGAAUGCGUGGUGUAGCGGUGAAAUGCUUAGAUAUCACGAAGAACUCCGAUUGCGAAGGCAGCCUACUAAACUGCCACUGACAUUGAUGCUCGAAAGUGUGGGUAUCAAACAGGAUUAGAUACCCGGGUAGUC
RNAcentral lists this ribosomal RNA (460 nucleotides) under uncultured bacterium. Its description in RNAcentral is "partial 16S ribosomal RNA". It matches the Rfam family "Bacterial small subunit ribosomal RNA", at positions 338 to 795 of the family's 1533-position model. The record is from RNAcentral.